GGGCGGGUAGCUUAGUCUGGUGGAGCGCUAGUCUUAUAAACUAGUGGUCGAGGGUUCAAAUCCCUUCCCGCCCA
This 74-nucleotide transfer RNA is filed under the name archaeon CG_4_10_14_0_2_um_filter_Archaea_38_6. Its description in RNAcentral is "tRNA-Ile". It matches the Rfam family "tRNA". From Rfam's summary of the family: Transfer RNA (tRNA) molecules are approximately 80 nucleotides in length. The record is from RNAcentral.